UGUAAAGAGUAAAGAUAAUAUGUCAUCCUUUCUAUGGCCAUGUCAAACUUAGACAUCUCCCGUUGAUAAUGAUAUUGUUUGAAAGGACAGAUUCAUGGUGUAGAUCCGAUCUGAUUCGAUCCCAGAUGAUGUCAGUAGAAAACCCAAGAUCACACGUAGUCUGAAAUGAUCCUGACCCUUAUUUAUUCUGCUAUGGACCUGAGCACUGGUGGGGGUUAUCAGCUUACUGCGUCACCCCGUUCAUGGGCAGUUUUCCUCAGCCAUUCUCUGCUCCUAUCAAGAGAGAAUAUAAAAAUGGAUUUUUCGAGGCAUACUCUUUGUAGGGCUGGGCUUUGUUACUAGCUCUGAGGUUUACUAUUUGUAGAUACGGAGAAAACCAAAAACGGUUGCAAAGGCUGACCAGG
Molecule: small RNA, 404 nt
Filed under: Histoplasma capsulatum
Lineage: Eukaryota; Fungi; Ascomycota; Eurotiomycetes; Onygenales; Ajellomycetaceae
Also listed under: 1 other name
Description: hypothetical RNA
Source: RNAcentral